This is a small nucleolar RNA of Echinops telfairi (small Madagascar hedgehog), 128 nucleotides long. The record is from Ensembl. Lineage: Eukaryota; Metazoa; Chordata; Mammalia; Afrosoricida; Tenrecidae.
CUCCCCCUACUCAUUUUGUGAAUUGGACUUAGGUCUUUACCAGUCAUUCAAGUAGGGCAAAAGAAACAUUCUUUUAAAGUCAGGCAAGCUGGGUGUUUGUCCAGAGGAAAGAGGUGGAGGAAACACAA